UAGGGAAUCUUCGGCAAUGGACGGAAGUCUGACCGAGCAACGCCGCGUGAGUGAAGAAGGUUUUCGGAUCGUAAAGCUCUGUUGUAAGAGAAGAACGAGCGUGAGAGUGGAAAGUUCACACUGUGACGGUAUCUUACCAGAAAGGGACGGCUAGCUACGUGCCAGCAGCCGCGGUAAUACGUAGGUCCCGAGCGUUGUCCGGAUUUAUUGGGCGUAAAGCGAGCGCAGGCGGUUAGAUAAGUCUGAAGUUAAAGGCUGUGGCUUAACCAUAGUACGCUUUGGAAACUGUUUAACUUGAGUGCAAGAGGGGAGAGUGGAAUUCCAUGUGUAGCGGUGAAAUGCGUAGAUAUAUGGAGGAACACCGGUGGCGAAAGCGGCUCUCUGGCUUGUAACUGACGCUGAGGCUCGAAAGCGUGGGGAGCAAACAGGAUUAGAUACCCUGGUAGUCCACGCCGUAAACGAUGAGUGCUAGGUGUUAGACCCUUUCCGGGGUUUAGUGCCGCAGCUAACGCAUUAAGCACUCCGCCUGGGGAGUACGACCGCAAGGUUG
RNAcentral lists this ribosomal RNA (550 nucleotides) under uncultured bacterium. RNAcentral describes it as "bacterial SSU rRNA". It matches the Rfam family "Bacterial small subunit ribosomal RNA", at positions 355 to 896 of the family's 1533-position model. The record is from RNAcentral.